UGUCAGCAUGUCUUUUGCCAGUUGGGAAGGCAUCGUGCUCUUCUUGCAAAGGCACAAAUAUUGUCACAUCACCAGGAAAACCAGUGAUUUUAAUUACCAUCAAUGGACGUUAUGACUUGCAUCAACCACUGCACUUCUGUGAAACAUGCCAGAGGCAGUGGGCUCCAGAACUGAAGGACCUCAUUAGGAGCGGUUAUUGGCCGGCCUCUCUUAGUGUGUAUACCUUGUACACACUAGACCUUCUGAGCUCCUUUCAGGAAUUGAAGGUCAUUUCUCCUGGUUUUGCCAGACAGGCCUUUGCAAAAUUGCUGGAGCACCGCACAAAGUGUGGAGGGAGAUCGGGACAUAUCAAUGGAGAUGCACUGCAGCGCAGUUUUUUAGAGUUUUCCUACUCUUCAUUUGAAAAAAGCAACUGUGCUGUGGUGCUGAAUUCACUUGCCCUGCCUGCACGCCUGAAAUGUUGGCUGUUUCUGCAGCUGGAAACAGAAAGUUAUAUCGCUUUGGCCAAAGUGGAAGCUCUGAUGACCCUGCCUUUUUUGAGGGGCUCUUUGU
Acanthochromis polyacanthus (spiny chromis) is the source of this 552-nucleotide long non-coding RNA. RefSeq lists it as uncharacterized. NCBI's taxonomy places the organism in Eukaryota, Metazoa, Chordata, Actinopteri, Pomacentridae. The record is from RefSeq and is a predicted model, not a curated record. The transcript has 4 exons.